UAGGUGGUGUAUAAUAUAAUAAUAUUAUAAUAAUAUAUUAUAAAAGAGGUUUACGAAGUUUACCACAGUUACCAAAUUCUUCUGUAAUUUUGGUAAUUAAAAGGUAAAUUAGUAAUUUUGAAAAAAUGUAUUAAUAUAUAUUAUAUAUUUUUUAAUCUGUGGCCAUGUUGUCAAUGCGUUUCUAGUGGAUGGACAAAAUGGUUCAAGAGAAAAUAGCCUAAUUAAUGAAAAAACUCUGCAACUCUUCCUACUGUUGACUCGUUUCAUGACUGCCACCAGUUUGGCCCCAAAACAUCGACAACAAACACAUAGUGACAUAGUAAAAUAAAUACAAGAGCGAAAAAAUAUGUCAAUGAAAUUUCAUGCUGAAACCCUCAUAUUAAACAAAAAUUGUAUUCACUAAGUUGAUGGUAUAUAUUUAAGAUAAUGUUUUACAGCUUUGCCAUACUAUUGAUUAUUUUAAAAUCAUCUUAUAUAUUUUAUAUGUAAUAAGGCCAUACAGAGGGCCAGAGAUCAUUACAGACACCUGUGAUAAUCUGUAGUACUCAAAAAGGACACUAGAUUUAAUCUUCUAAGAUUCCAUUUAUUUAUCGAAAGAUACCAAAAUUCUGUCAGGUUAUUGGUAAACUUCGAAAGUUAUUGGUAAACUUAGAAAGUUACUGGUAAACUUUACACCUCUAGGUCUGCGUCUCAGUAUAAAUUCUCUGUUGGGAUUUUGGGGUGUUUUGUUGGCUCCCGAGUGGCGCAGCGGUCUAAGGCACUGCAACUCAGUACGAAAGGUGUCACUAUAGGUACCUAUAGUACCUGAAUCCAGGCUGUAUCACAUUUGGCCGUGAUUGGGAGUCCCAUAGGGCGGCGCACAAUUGGCCCAGCGUCGUCAGGGUUUGGCCGGAGUAGGCCGUCAUUGUAAAUAAGAAUAGGAACUGACUUGCCUAGUUAAAUAAAGGUUAAAUAAUAAAAUACAUAAGUCUGUUGACAUUGUGACAUUGUGACUUUGGAUUGAUUAAGCUAAGGUUAUUGUUUGGCUAAGGUUUGACGAGAUGUCUCACCUACACCUUAGCAUUCCGUUUGGCUAAGGUUUGACGAGAUGUCUCACCUACACCUUAGCAUUCCGUUAGGCUAAGGUUUGACGAGAUGUCUCACCUACACCUUAGCAUUCCGUUAGGCUAAGGUUUGACGAGAUGUCUCACCUACACCUUAGCAUUCCGUUAGGCUAAGGGUUUGACGAGAUGUCUCACCUACACCUUAGCAUUCCGUUAGGCUAAGGUUUGAUGAGAUGUCUCACCUACACCUUAGCAUUCCAUUAGGCUAAGGGUUUGACGAGAUGUCUCACCUACACCUUAGCAUUCCGUUAGGCUAAGGGUUUGACGAGAUGUCUCACCUACACCUUAGCAUUCCGUUAGGCUAAGGUUUGACGAGAUGUCUCACCUACACCUUAGCAUUCCGUUAGGCUAAGGUUUGACGAGAUGUCUCACCUACACCUUAGCAUUCCAUUAGGCUAAGGGUUUGACGAGAUGUCUCACCUACACCUUAGCAUUCCGUUAGGCUAAGGGUUUGACGAGAUGUCUCACCUACACCUUAGCAUUCCGUUAGGCUAAGGUUUGACGAGAUGUCUCACCUACACCUUAGCAUUCCGUUAGGCUAAGGUUUGACGAGAUGUCUCACCUACACCUUAGCAUUCCGUUAGGCUAAGGUUUGACGAGAUGUCUCACCUACACCUUAGCAUUCCGUUAAGCUAAGGUUUGACGAGAUGUCUCACCUACACCUUAGCAUUUCAUUUGGCUAAGGUUUGACGAGAUGUCUCACCUACACGUUAGCAUUCCGUUAGGCUAAGGGUUUGACGAGAUGUCUCACCUACACCUUACCAUUCCGUUAGGCUAAGGUUUGACGAGAUGUCUCACCUACACCUUAGCAUUCCGUUAGGCUAAGGUUUGACGAGAUGUCUCACCUACACCUUAGCAUUCCAUUAGGCUAAGGGUUUGACGAGAUGUCUCACCUACACCUUAGCAUUCCGUUAGGCUAAGGUUUGACGAGAUGUCUCACCUACACCUUAGCAUUCCGUUAAGCUAAGGUUUGACGAGAUGUCUCACCUACACCUUAGCAUUCCAUUUGGCUAAGGUUUGACGAGAUGUCUCACCUACACGUUAGCAUUCCGUUAGGCUAAGGGUUUGACGAGAUGUCUCACCUACACCUUAGCAUUCCGUUAGGCUAAGGUUUGACGAGAUGUCUCACCUACACCUUAGCAUUCCGUUAGGCUAAGGUUUGACGAGAUGUCUCACCUACACCUUAGCAUUCCGUUAGGCUAAGGGUUUGACAAGAUGUCUCACCUACACCUUAGCAUUCCGUUAGGCUAAGGGUUUGACAAGAUGUCUCACCUACACCUUAGCAUUCCGUUAGGCUAAGGUUUGACAAGAUGUCUCACCUACACCUUAGCAUUCCGUUAGGCUAAGGUUUGACAAGAUGUCUCACCUACACCUUAGUAUUCCGUUAGGCUAAGGUUUGACAAGAUGUCUCACCUACACCUUAGCAUUCCGUUAGGCUAAGGUUUGACAAGAUGUCUCACCUACACCUUAGCAUUCCGUUAGGCUAAGGGUUUGACAAGAUGUCUCACCUACACCUUAGCAUUCCGUUAGGCUAAGGUUUGACAAGAUGUCUCACCUACACCUUAGCAUUCCGUUAGGCUAAGGUUUGACAAGAUGUCUCACCUACACCUUAGUAUUCCGUUAGGCUAAGGUUUGACAAGAUGUCUCACCUACACCUUAGCAUUCCAUUAGGCUAAGGUUUGACGAGAUGUCUCACCUACACCUUAACAUUCCGUUAGGCUAAGGUUUGACUAGAUGUCUCACCUACACCUUAACAUUCCGUUAGGCUAAGGUUUGACGAGAUGUCUCACCUACACCUUAACAUUCCGUUAGGCUAAGGUUUGACGAGAUGUCUCACCUACACCUUAGCAUUCCGUUAGGCUAAGGGUUUGACGAGAUGUCUCACCUACACCUUAGCAUUCCGUUAGGCUAAGGUUUGACGAGAUGUCUCACCUACACCUUAGCAUUCCGUUUGGCUAAGGGUUUGACGAGAUGUCUCACCUACACCUUAACAUUCCGUUAGGCUAAGGUUUGACGAGAUGUCUCACCUACACCUUAACAUUCCGUUAGGCUAAGGGUUUGACAAGAUGUCUCACCUACACCUUAGCAUUCCGUUAGGCUAAGGGUUUGACGAGAUGUCUCACCUACACUUUAGCAUUCCGUUAGCGCAAGGGUUUGACGAGAUGUCUCACCUACACCUUAGCAUUCCGUUAGGCUAAGGGUUUGACGAGAUGUCUCACCUACACCUUAGCAUUCCGUUAGGCUAAGGGUUUGACAAGAUGUCUCACCUACACCUUAGCAUUCCGUUAGGCUAAGGGUUUGACAAGAUGUCUCACCUACACCUUAGCAUUCCGUUAGGCUAAGGGUUUGACAAGAUGUCUCACCUAGACCUUAGCAUUCCGUUAGGCUAAGGGUUUGACAAGAUGUCUCACCUACACCUUAGCAUUCCGUUAGCCUAAGGGUUUGACGAGAUGUCUCACCUACACCUUAGCAUUCCGUUAGGCUAAGGGUUUGACAAGAUGUCUCACCUACACCUUAGCAUUCCGUUAGGCUAAGGGUUUGACAAGAUGUCUCACCUACACCUUAGCAUUCCGUUAGGCUAAGGGUUUGACAAGAUGUCUCACCUACACCUUAGCAUUCCGUUAGGCUAAGGGUUUGACAAGAUGUCUCACCUACACCUUAGCAUUCCGUUAGGCUAAGGUUUGACAAGAUGUCUCACCUACACCUUAGCAUUCCGUUAGGCUAAGGGUUUGACGAGAUGUCUCACCUACACCUUAACAUUCCGUUAGGCUAAGGGUUUGACAAGAUGUCUCACCUACACCUUAGCAUUCCGUUAGGCUAAGGGUUUGACAAGAUGUCUCACCUACACCUUAGCAUUCCGUUAGGCUAAGGGUUUGACAAGAUGUCUCACCUACACCUUAGCAUUCCGUUAGGCUAAGGGUUUGACAAGAUGUCUCACCUACACCUUAGCAUUCCGUUAGGCUAAGGGGUUGACAAGAUGUCUCACCUACACCUUAGCAUUCCGUUAGGCUAAGGGUUUGACAAGAUGUCUCACCUACACCUUAGCAUUCCGUUAGGCUAAGGGUUUGACAAGAUGUCUCACCUACACCUUAGCAUUCCGUUAGGCUAAGGGUUUGACAAGAUGUCUCACCUACACCUUAGCAUUCCGUUAGGCUAAGGGUUUGACAAGAUGUCUCACCUACACCUUAGCAUUCCGUUAGGCUAAGGGUUUGACGAGAUGUCUCACCUACACCUUAUCAUUCCGUUAUCCACUGGGUUGUUGUCACUAUACCACUAUUUCAACUCUCUUAAUAAAGGUCAGGCCGAGACAUAUUUUGGAAACGCUCAAUUACUCAAUGAAUCUCUUGGAACUGAAAACACUAAUAUGAGGUAACAAAUGAGCGCUGUGUUCCAAAUGAUGCCCUAUUGCUCAGGUAGUGCACUACUGUUGACCAGGGCCCAUAGUGCACUACUGUUGACCAGGGCCCAUAGGGUAGUGCACUACUGUUGACCAGGGCCCAUAGGGUAGUGCACUACUGUUGACCAGGGCCCAUAGGGUAGUGCACUACUGUUGACCAGGGCCCAUAGGGUAGUGCACUACUGUUGACCAGGGCCCAUAGGGUAGUGCACUACUGUUGACCAGGGCCCAUAGGGUAGUGCACUACUGUUGACCAGGGCCCAUAGGGUAGUGCACUACUGUUGACCAGGGCCCAUAGGGCUCUAUAGUAGUGCACUAUAAAGGGAAUACGGUGCCAUUCAGGCGUUGCAUAAAGCCGAUGGGUAUAACGCAUUGCUACUUGUUAUAAACUUUGUGAGCCUCUAAAACGUCCAGACUUAUGAUGAUAUUCUGAUGUUUACCCCCCACCCCCAUCAGUUAUGAUGUUAUUCUGAUGUGUACCCCCCCCAUCAGUUAUGAUGUUAUUCUGAUG
This is a long non-coding RNA of Salvelinus fontinalis (brook trout), 5011 nucleotides long. RefSeq lists it as uncharacterized. The transcript is spliced from 3 exons. NCBI's taxonomy places the organism in Eukaryota, Metazoa, Chordata, Actinopteri, Salmoniformes, Salmonidae. The record is from RefSeq and is a predicted model, not a curated record.